Non-coding RNA from Paramormyrops kingsleyae, 1873 nucleotides. The record is from RefSeq and is a predicted model, not a curated record. NCBI's taxonomy places the organism in Eukaryota, Metazoa, Chordata, Actinopteri, Osteoglossiformes, Mormyridae.
GCGGUUCUACACGGAGGCCUAGGGAGGCCCGUGCCUCUGUAGACAUGUCCCUGGCCACCCCUGUGGCCCCCCAGUGCUGACCAAAUAAAAAAGUAUGAAUUUAUUAUGAUUUUACACACGAGCGCCAAAAGCGGAACUAAUGCGACGCAUCGUUCUACACGGGUAAAUUAGAGCGGCGCACCCAAACACUGUGGUGCUGCUCCGUGAAUGAGAGCGCAGCAACAGCUAGAACCACCCUUGGAUAGUGGAGCUACGAUUAAUUUCUUCUGUAGCAAGAGUCGAAGACCUCAGCUGACACCGACUCCCAGCACAUUCUGAUAAUGGGUCCGUGGUUGACUCCAGGCGGAUGGUCAUAAGCUGAAGCCGUCGCCACAGACAUGUUGCCAUGUGGCUCCUGCGACCCCAGACUUUGUCCUCCUACUUAUAGGCAAGAGCGCAGCAGGGGCAUUGAUACCAUAGCAACUUCAGAGGGCCCAGCACUCUACAGGGGCCCUUGAAUAUGCAAAAUUAUACAAUAUAAUUUCAAAUUUCUAGCUACGGCCCCAGCCAGAGGGCAUCCAGAGGUGGGCAUGAAGCCACCAUCCAUCGCCAGCUUGAAGCCAAAUGCAGAAAGCAAAGUCUGGUAGAUGAAGAGGAAGUUAUUUGCCAGUGGACAUCUUUGCCAGAAGCAGGAGGGGGGUGUAUGGCUGCUUCUCUGGAGCAGACUUGACUCUCUUCACAGGUGCUUCCCUGAAUGGACUCCACUGGAACAGCACCUGGCACUGGAGGGAGAAAGUAUUACACCUUUUUAAGCCCAAAAAUGGAAAAAGAGCACGGGAUCUUAUUGCUUUUUAAUUCAGCUGCUUUUUAAACUUGCGCAGCUGAUAGUAUUGGCCUUAAUCCAUCUCCGUUUCAUCUGUGCAGUAUGGAGGCGUGGAUGCUCUUCUGCUUAGGAAACUAAAACCUUGAUUCAAGGGUACAACAGCAAAUCCCAGGGAGACUUAAAAAAAAAGCCGUCCUCCCAUCACAAAGACUAUUUCUCUUCCCAAGAGCACCUGCCACUGCGUGCUGGCUCUAAAAGCAACGGGAGCACAAUGCCGCAAACUUGAAUGCCACAGUUGAAAGCCAAGUAAAUUAAGAGAGAAACACUUCCUCCAAGGCCAGAAUGGAGAAUUUGUACAAUAUGUUUUCUUAUCUGAAGACUCAGAAGCAUUUAAAAUGCUGCACUUUUCUUCCCCAAGUCAAUGUUUACAUCAUCUUGGUUUCUGAAAAACAAAUUGCCGUACACGGUGGAUGUGAGUCGCUUUCAUUCUGCUGUUUUAAUGCGGAAAAACCUGAACAUGGGUCGGACAAAGAGAAUAUUUGAACCAAUGCGGCUCCCCACUCUUCCUCCUCCCGGGAUCUUAAAUCACACAUUCCGCAUCUUGGCUUCUUUCAGUGUUCCCCAUCAAAAUCCCCUCCGUCUGUCUGCUCCGAGAUCUCUAGGGUACCGCUGUGAACACCUCACCUAGAACUACCAGGGAGUAAUGUAAGGAGUGCAGCCAAUAAGCUUAGGAGAACUUCAGAGGCUAAUAUAGGCCCUUGUCUCCUUAACGAUGACAAUGAAGAGGUCUGGCUUCAGGUUAUUGAUGAAAUGAUGAAGUGUGCAGUUCAGUGGGUUAGGCCUCUGUGAUCAGUCGCAGCCUUGGCAGAAUAGUCACACUGACGAUGGGCCCUUGAGCAAAGCCCUCCCCCCUCCAUACCCCCCUCCCCAAAAACAAUUCUCCAGGGGCACCAGAUAAUAUAUACUUAACACUACGUCCUUAACACUUAACACUAGAGGGUGCAUUAGGGUGUUUUUUCAAGGCUCUGGUAAUUCGUGAACCAUGCCACGUGACAUGAUGCCCGUGCAAGC